Molecule: RNA transcript, 1905 nt
Organism: Metopolophium dirhodum (rose-grain aphid)
Lineage: Eukaryota; Metazoa; Arthropoda; Insecta; Hemiptera; Aphididae
Gene: Aps
Gene name: diphosphoinositol polyphosphate phosphohydrolase 2
Exons: 5
Source: RefSeq, a predicted model, not a curated record
CCGUCACCGUAUUGGCUAGUUUUUCGCGUCGUUGGCCGCCCGUGCGCGUUCUCGCCGCAUCAAUUUUUUUUUUGGACUUUGACACCCAUUCCCGUCGUCGCCGCCGUCGCCGUCGUCACGAUUAUGGUGGUCCGGACGAACGAACGAAACGAUAUGCAAUCGUCAAACGGCGGUACGAUGUUUCGAUUACAAUGUCUCUAAGUGACAUUUGUCUAAUGUAUCUCUUAUUGUUUAAUUCUUAAUACCCGUUUUUUUCCCCGUUUUUUUUUCAAUUUUUUUUGUUUUAUUAUAAUUUUUUUUACGUUUUUUUUUUAUACACACCGUAUUAAUUUUCUUUAUUUUAAUUUAAUUUUAAAUUAAACUACUUUUUAUUAAAAAUUUUAUACUUGUACUUAGUAUUCUAAAUUCGCUUUAGCUCGUACAUAAUAUAACUCACAAAAACUACCACCGUUGUCGUCUUACGUUUAUAUAUAUAUUAUUGUAAUAUUUUAUACGUAUCUCUUCAACACGCGGGUGGAUUUCGAUUCGCCGUGAAGUAUAAGAAAAGUCACAAUAUUGCUCGUUCGUGUUCCAAAACCACAAUAUCAAAAUUCAGAAGAAAAAUGUCAACCGCCGUUGAUACGUCUCGUAGUUGCACCUAAAUUUUUUUCCCAAAAAAAUAAUCUCUAGCACCUAGAGUACCCCGAGGAUUCGUCGUUAGAAUUUUAUUCUCGGUUACUAGGACAUCAAUAAAUUAAAGUAAAAAUGAAAGAUAAACCGAAUUCAACUCGCAUUUAUGACGAGGAUGGAUUUCGCAGGCGAGCUGCUUGUAUAUGUGUGCGCAAAGAUUCCGAUGAGGUGUUGUUGGUGACUUCAUCUAGUAGACCUGAACAAUGGAUUGUACCCGGUGGUGGUAUUGAACCUGAAGAAGAACCAAGUGCUACUGCUCUAAGGGAAGUAGUCGAAGAAGCUGGUGUUGUGGGCAGACUACACAGAAGACUUGGUACAUUUGAAGAUAGGACUCAUAUCAGACGGCAUAGAACAGAUGUGUUUGUUAUGAUUGUAACAGAAGAACUAGCUGAGUGGGAAGAUUCUUUGGGCAUAGAAAUACAUCUAGUGUCAUACUUGAAACAAAAACGUGAGCAAACAAAAUACUAAGAUAAUAUGCACAUAAAAUAAGGCAGUGAUAAAAAUAAUAGUAAUACACCGUCAACAAACCAUAGUUUACAAGGUCGCAAACGCAAAUGGUUUAAAUUAGAAGAUGCACUGAAUAUGCUACGUCUACACAAGCCUACUCAACACACGUACCUGGAAAGUUUUGCUCUCAAUAAACAAAAAGCAAACAUCUGAAAAAGUCAUCCUUUUAAUAAAUUAUUUGCUCCAAAUGGAAAAAAAUACUCCCUAAAAUGUUUAGAUUAAAAAUAAUAUCAAUUCGCUAAUAGUUUUUAGUCUUAAGUCGAUGAAUUCAAUUUUUAUGUUUAAUAUCAAAUUAGGUUCAUUUACUUUUAGAUAUAAGGGAUAAAGAUUUUUUUUAUCAUUAUUAUUAUUAUUAUUAUUAUUUUUUUUAAUAUUGCAGAAUUUGUAACGCUUAAAAAACAAACAUAAUAAAAAAUCACUGAACUGAAUAAUAAUUUAUAAAACUUUUCUAACUACAUGUGUAUAUACAAUAUGUUAUAAUAAUAUAUCUUGUACGCACGGCUUCAGUGUUUAUGUUACUUAUUGUAUAAACAUUUGACAGACUGCCAAUAGCUUAGUGGAUUAAACUGCUGAGUUAUAUUAAUUAAAUUAGUUUAUACAUUUUUCAAUGUUAAAACUAUUAUAAACAUUUUUUUUUUUUCAUUUGUAACCAUAAUAUUUGUAACGCCCUUAACAUUUUUUUGGUUUGAGGGGAAAAAAUACAUUUGAAUAAAAAAAAUAUCUUGUUUA